This 399-nucleotide ribosomal RNA is filed under the name uncultured bacterium. RNAcentral describes it as "bacterial SSU rRNA". It matches the Rfam family "Bacterial small subunit ribosomal RNA", at positions 358 to 774 of the family's 1533-position model. The record is from RNAcentral.
GGAAUAUUGGGCAAUGGAGGAAACUCUGACCCAGCCAUGCCGCGUGAGUGAAGAAGGUUUUCGAAUUGUAAAGCUCUUUCGGAUACGAGGAUGAUGACGGUAGUAUCUAAAGAAGCCCCGGCACACUUCGUGCCAGCAGCCGCGGUAAUACGAAGGGGGCGAGCGUUGUUCGGAAUUACUGGGCGUAAAGGGUGUGUAGGCGGAUAUGUAAGAUAGCGGUGAAAUACCUGGGCUCAACUUAGGAAUUGCCGUUAUAACUAUGUAUCUAGAGUGAUAGAGAGGAUAUUGGAAUACCCAGUGUAGAGGUGAAAUUCGUAGAUAUUGGGUAGAACACCGGAGGCGAAGGCGAGUAUCUGGCUAUCAACUGACGCUGAGGCACGAAAGCAUGGGGAUCAAACA